AUUGAACGCUGGCGGCAUGCCUUACACAUGCAAGUCGAACGGUAACGGGUCCUUCGGGAUGCCGACGAGUGGCGAACGGGUGAGUAAUAUAUCGGAACGUGCCCAGUAGUGGGGGAUAACUGCUCGAAAGAGCAGCUAAUACCGCAUACGACCUGAGGGUGAAAGGGGGGAUCGCAAGACCUCUCGCUAUUGGAGCGGCCGAUAUCAGAUUAGCUAGUUGGUGGGGUAAAGGCCUACCAAGGCAACGAUCUGUAGUUGGUCUGAGAGGACGACCAGCCACACUGGGACUGAGACACGGCCCAGACUCCUACGGGAGGCAGCAGUGGGGAAUUUUGGACAAUGGGCGCAAGCCUGAUCCAGCAAUGCCGCGUGCAGGAAGAAGGCCUUCGGGUUGUAAACUGCUUUUGUCAGGGAAGAAAUCUUCUGGGCUAAUACCCCGGGAGGAUGACGGUACCUGAAGAAUAAGCACCGGCUAACUACGUG
This 483-nucleotide ribosomal RNA is filed under the name uncultured bacterium. Its description in RNAcentral is "partial 16S ribosomal RNA". It matches the Rfam family "Bacterial small subunit ribosomal RNA", at positions 30 to 507 of the family's 1533-position model. The record is from RNAcentral.